AAUUUACUGCCACCGGGUAGGAAGCGUUACGCAUUCGUGUACAUAUCGUUAGGUCUUAGAAGAUAUGUACGUCGGGUGCUUAUUUUUU
RNAcentral lists this non-coding RNA (88 nucleotides) under unclassified sequences. The record is from RNAcentral.